UGGCCCAUAGUGUAACGGUAACACCCCAGGUUUUGGUCCUGGUAUUUCUGGUUCAAAUCCAGAUGGGCCAG
Molecule: transfer RNA, 71 nt
Filed under: Phycisphaerales bacterium
Lineage: Bacteria; Pseudomonadati; Planctomycetota; Phycisphaerae; Phycisphaerales
Description: tRNA-Gln
Rfam family: tRNA
About the family: Transfer RNA (tRNA) molecules are approximately 80 nucleotides in length. Their secondary structure includes four short double-helical elements and three loops (D, anti-codon, and T loops). Further hydrogen bonds mediate the characteristic L-shaped molecular structure. tRNAs have two regions of fundamental functional importance: the anti-codon, which is responsible for specific mRNA codon recognition, and the 3' end, to which the tRNAs corresponding amino acid is attached (by aminoacyl-tRNA synthetases). tRNAs cope with the degeneracy of the genetic code in two manners: having more than one tRNA (with a specific anti-codon) for a particular amino acid; and 'wobble' base-pairing, i.e. permitting non-standard base-pairing at the 3rd anti-codon position.
Source: RNAcentral